GAUGAACGCUGGCGGCGUGCCUAAUACAUGCAAGUCGAGCGAACAGACGAGAGUGCUUGCACUCUCUGACGUUAGCGGCGGACGGGUGAGUAACACGUGGGUAACCUACCUAUAAGACUGGGAUAACUUCGGGAAACCGGAGCUAAUACCGGAUAAUAUUUAGCUUCGCAUGAAGCAAUAGUGAAAGACGGUUCUGCUGUCACUUAUAGAUGGACCCGCGGUGUAUUAGCUAGUUGGUGAGGUAACGGCUCACCAAGGCAACGAUACAUAGCCGACCUGAGAGGGUGAUCGGCCACACUGGGACUGAGACACGGACCAGACUCCUACGGGAGGCAGCAGUAGGGAAUCUUCCGCAAUGGACGAAAGUCUGACGGAGCAAUGCCGCGUGAGUGAAGAAGGUUUUCGGAUCGUAAAACUCUGUUGUAUGGGAAGAACAAGUACGUUAGUAACUGAACGUACCUUGACGGUACCUUACCAGAAAGCCACGGCUAACUACGUG
This 499-nucleotide ribosomal RNA is filed under the name uncultured bacterium. Its description in RNAcentral is "partial 16S ribosomal RNA". It matches the Rfam family "Bacterial small subunit ribosomal RNA", at positions 28 to 507 of the family's 1533-position model. The record is from RNAcentral.